This 817-nucleotide ribosomal RNA is filed under the name uncultured bacterium. Its description in RNAcentral is "bacterial SSU rRNA". It matches the Rfam family "Bacterial small subunit ribosomal RNA", at positions 8 to 812 of the family's 1533-position model. The record is from RNAcentral.
AGAGUUUGAUCCUGGCUCAGGAUGAACGCUAGCUACAGGCUUAACACAUGCAAGUCGAGGGGCAGCAUGGUCUUAGCUUGCUAAGGCUGAUGGCGACCGGCGCACGGGUGAGUAACACGUAUCCAACCUGCCGUCUACUCUUGGCCAGCCUUCUGAAAGGAAGAUUAAUCCAGGAUGGGAUCAUGAGUUCACAUGUCCGCAUGAUUAAAGGUAUUUUCCGGUAGACGAUGGGGAUGCGUUCCAUUAGAUAGUAGGCGGGGUAACGGCCCACCUAGUCAACGAUGGAUAGGGGUUCUGAGAGGAAGGUCCCCCACAUUGGAACUGAGACACGGUCCAAACUCCUACGGGAGGCAGCAGUGAGGAAUAUUGGUCAAUGGGCGAUGGCCUGAACCAGCCAAGUAGCGUGAAGGAUGACUGCCCUAUGGGUUGUAAACUUCUUUUAUAAAGGAAUAAAGUCGGGUAUGCAUACCCGUUUGCAUGUACUUUAUGAAUAAGGAUCGGCUAACUCCGUGCCAGCAGCCGCGGUAAUACGGAGGAUCCGAGCGUUAUCCGGAUUUAUUGGGUUUAAAGGGAGCGUAGAUGGAUGUUUAAGUCAGUUGUGAAAGUUUGCGGCUCAACCGUAAAAUUGCAGUUGAUACUGGAUGUCUUGAGUGCAGUUGAGGCAGGCGGAAUUCGUGGUGUAGCGGUGAAAUGCUUAGAUAUCACGAAGAACUCCGAUUGCGAAGGCAGCCUGCUAAGCUGCAACUGACAUUGAGGCUCGAAAGUGUUGGUAUCAAACAGGAUUAGAUACCCUGGUAGUCCACACGGUAAACGAUGA